UAGUAUCUUGCCUCAGUUGGUGCCAUCUAGCGGUUUAGAUGGCUGAAAUGGGAAUCUGGUGUGAAUCCAGAACUGACGCGCAGCGGUAAUAGAGAACGAAGGCUUAUUUGACACUGCAUAUUUUGCGGGAAGUCUAGCCGUAGGUUGCCAAGCUUUGGUAGUGCUCUUAAGUCCGAAUACCAGCCAGCAGCUGAGCCUAUAAA
Molecule: non-coding RNA, 203 nt
Filed under: Vibrio marisflavi
Lineage: Bacteria; Pseudomonadati; Pseudomonadota; Gammaproteobacteria; Vibrionales; Vibrionaceae
Source: RNAcentral